CGGCCGGGAACUCAAAGGAGACUGCCAGUGAUAAACUGGAGGAAGGUGGGGAUGACGUCAAGUCAUCAUGGCCCUUACGACCAGGGCUACACACGUGCUACAAUGGCGCAUACAAAGAGAAGCGACCUCGCGAGAGCAAGCGGACCUCAUAAAGUGCGUCGUAGUCCGGAUUGGAGUCUGCAACUCGACUCCAUGAAGUCGGAAUCGCUAGUAAUCGUGGAUCAGAAUGCCACGGUGAAUACGUUCCCGGGCCUUGUACACACCGCCCGUCACACCAUGGGAGUGGGUUGCAAAAGAAGUAGGUAGCUUAACCUUCGGGAGGGCGCUUACCACUUUGUGAUUCAUGACUGGGGUGAAGUCGUAACAAGGUAACCGUAGGGGAACCUGCGGUUGGAUCACCUCCUUACCUGAAAGAA
RNAcentral lists this ribosomal RNA (416 nucleotides) under Salmonella enterica. RNAcentral describes it as "bacterial SSU rRNA". It matches the Rfam family "Bacterial small subunit ribosomal RNA", at positions 1128 to 1533 of the family's 1533-position model. Lineage: Bacteria; Pseudomonadati; Pseudomonadota; Gammaproteobacteria; Enterobacterales; Enterobacteriaceae. The record is from RNAcentral. RNAcentral also lists the same sequence under 5 other names.